Molecule: ribosomal RNA, 1244 nt
Filed under: metagenome
Description: bacterial LSU rRNA
Rfam family: Bacterial large subunit ribosomal RNA
Source: RNAcentral
UGAAUACGAGAUGCUACGGCGUCGAAGCAGUCUAUGUCAUACUUCCAAGAAAAGCUUGCACUGUCAUAAACAAAUAAUGCCUGUACCAUAACCGACACAGGUGGGUAGGUAGAGUAUACUAAGGGGCGCGAGAUAACUCUCUCUAAGGAACUCGGCAAAAUGACUCCGUAACUUCGGGAGAAGGAGUGCCUUAUUUAUAUAAGGUUGCAAUAACAAGAUCCAAGCAACUGUUUACCAAAAACACAGGUCUCCGCUAAGUCGUAAGACGAUGUAUGGGGGCUGACGCCUGCCCAGUGCCAGAAGGUUAAAGAAGUUGGUUAGCAUCCGCGAAGCUGAUAACUGAAGCCCUGGUGAACGGCGGCCGUAACAAUAACGGUCCUAAGGUAGCGAAAUUCCUUGUCGGGUAAGUUCCGACCCGCACGAAAGGCGUAAUGAUUUGGAUACUGUCUCGGAGAGGGGCUCGGUGAAAUAGACUUGUCUGUGAAGAUGCGGACUACCUGCACCUGGAUAGAAAGACCCUAUGAAGCUUUACUGUAACUUGAAAUUGAAAUUGGACUUUAUUUGCGCAGUAUAGGUGGGAGGCGUUGAAAAUAAUCUUGCGGGAUUAUUGGAGCCAUCAGUGAGAUACCACUCUUGUAAUGUUAGAUUUCUAACUUUGUAUCAUUAUCUGGUCAAAGAACAGUUUCAGGCGGGCAGUUUGACUGGGGCGGUCGCCUCCCAAACGGUAACGGAGGCGCACAAAGGUUUCCUCUGAACGGGUAGAAAUCGUAUCUAGAGUGUAAAGGCAUAAGGAAGCUUGACUGUGAGACCUACAAGUCGAGCAGGGACGAAAGUCGGUCUUAGUGAUCUGACGGUGCUGAGUGGAAAGGCCGUCACUCAACGGAUAAAAGUUACUCUAAGGAUAACAGGCUGAUCUCCCCCAAGAGUUCACAUCGACGGGGAGGUUUGGCACCUCGAUGUCGGCUCAUCGCAUCCUGGGGCGGUAGUACGUCCCAAGGGUUGGGCUGUUCGCCCAUGAAAGCGGUACGCGAGCUGGGUUCAGAACGUCGUGAGACAGUUCGGUCCAUAUCCGGUGUAGGCGUUAGAAUAUUGAGAGGAGCCUUCUCUAGUACGAGAGGACCGAGAAGGACAUACCUCUGGUGUACCAGUUAUCGUGCCAACGGUAAACGCUGGGUAGCUAUGUAUGGAGUGGAUAACCGCUGAAAGCAUCUAAGUGGGAAGCCCACCUCAAGAUAAGUAUUCGC